This 338-nucleotide ribosomal RNA is filed under the name uncultured bacterium. Its description in RNAcentral is "bacterial SSU rRNA". It matches the Rfam family "Bacterial small subunit ribosomal RNA", at positions 71 to 422 of the family's 1533-position model. The record is from RNAcentral.
AAGUGGUAGCAAUACCAUGAGUAAAGCGGCGCACGGGUGAGUAACACGUGACUAACCUACCCUCGAGUGGGGAAUAACUUCGGGAAACCGAGGCUAAUACCGCAUAAUACCCACGGGUCAAAAGAGCAAUCUGCUUGAGGAGGGGGUCGCGGCCGAUUAGUUAGUUGGCGGGGUAAUGGCCCACCAAGACGAUGAUCGGUAUCCGGCCUGAGAGGGCGCACGGACACACUGGAACUGAAACACGGUCCAGACUCCUACGGGAGGCAGCAGUGGGGAAUUUUGCGCAAUGGGGGAAACCCUGACGCAGCAACGCCGCGUGGAGGAUGAAGUCCUUCGGG